UCCGGUUUGUCACCGGCAGUCUCCUAUGAGUCCCCGACAUUACUCGCUGGCAACUGAGGACAAGGGUUGCGCUCGUUGCGCCACUUAAGGCAACACCUCACGGCACGAGCUGACGACAGCCAUGCACCACCUGUGCAGGCUCCGUAGAGCGCCGGCUUUCACCGGCUUUACCCUGCAUGUCAAGCCCAGGUAAGGUUCUUCGCGUUGCUUCGAAUUAAGCCACAUGCUCCGCCGCUUGUGCGGGUCCCCGUCAAUUCCUUUGAGUUUUAGCCUCGCGGCCGUACUCCCCAGGCGGGGCACUUCAUGCGUUUGCGCCGGCCCCCAAGGGGUCGCUCCCCCAGAGACCUAGUGCCCAUCGUUUACGGCGUGGACUAC
This 375-nucleotide unclassified non-coding RNA is filed under the name uncultured Actinomycetes bacterium. RNAcentral describes it as "uncultured actinobacterium contains 16S-23S intergenic spacer region". The record is from RNAcentral. Lineage: Bacteria; Bacillati; Actinomycetota; Actinomycetes.